RNAcentral lists this ribosomal RNA (1008 nucleotides) under Ophiocordyceps acroasca. RNAcentral describes it as "SSU rRNA". It matches the Rfam family "Eukaryotic small subunit ribosomal RNA", at positions 97 to 1116 of the family's 1831-position model. The record is from RNAcentral. Lineage: Eukaryota; Fungi; Ascomycota; Sordariomycetes; Hypocreales; Ophiocordycipitaceae.
CUCAUUAUAUAAGUUAUCGUUUAUUUGAUAGCACCUUACUACUUGGGUAACCGUGGUAAUUCUAGAGCUAAUACAUGCUGAAAAUCCCGACUCCGGAAGGGAUGUGUUUAUUAGAUUCAAAGCCAACGCCCCCCGGGCUCACUGGUGAUUCAUGAUAACCGCUCGAAUCGCACGGCCUUGCGCCGGCGAUGGUUCAUUCAAAUUUCUUCCCUAUCAACUUUCGAUGUUUGGGUAGUGGCCAAACAUGGUUGCAACGGGUAACGGAGGGUUAGGGCUCGACCCCGGAGAAGGAGCCUGAGAGACGGCUACUACAUCCAAGGAAGGCAGCAGGCGCGCAAAUUACCCAAUCCCGACACGGGGAGGUAGUGACAAUAAAUACCGAUAUAGGGCUCUUUUGGGUCUUAUAAUUGGAAUGAGUACAAUUUAAAUCCCUUAACGAGGAACAAUUGGAGGGCAAGUCUGGUGCCAGCAGCCGCGGUAAUUCCAGCUCCAAUAGCGUAUAUUAAAGUUGUUGUGGUUAAAAAGCCCGUAGUUGAACCUUGGGCCUGGCUGGCCGGUCCGCCUCACCGCGUGCACUGGUCCGGCCGGGCCUUUCCCUCCGCGGAACCCCAUGCCCUUCGCUGGGCGUGGCGGGGAAACGGGACUUUUACUUUGAAAAAAUUAGAGUGCUCCAGGCAGGCCUAUGCUCGAAUACAUUAGCAUGGAAUAAUGAAAUAGGACGCGCGGUUCUAUUUUGUUGGUUUCUAGGACCGCCGUAAUGAUUGAUAGGGACAGUCGGGGGCGUCAGUAUUCAACCGUCAGAGGUGAAAUUCUUGGACCGGUUGAAGACUAACUACUGCGAAAGCAUUCGCCAAGGAUGUUUUCAUUAAUCAGGGACGAAAGCUAGGGGAUCGAAGACGAUCAGAUACCGUCGUAGUCUUAGCCAUAAACUAUGCCGACUAGGGAUCGGGCGAUGUUAUUCUUUGACUCGCUCGGCACCUUACGAGAAAUCAAAGUGCUUGGGCUCCA